This 406-nucleotide ribosomal RNA is filed under the name uncultured bacterium. RNAcentral's name for it is "partial 16S ribosomal RNA". It matches the Rfam family "Bacterial small subunit ribosomal RNA", at positions 30 to 526 of the family's 1533-position model. The record is from RNAcentral.
AUUGAACGCUGGCGGUAGGCCUAACAUAUGCAAGUCGAGCGAGCGGCGGACGGGUGAGAAAUGUCUGGGAAACUGCCUGAUGGAGGGGGAUAACUACCGGAAACGGUAGCUAAUACCGCAUACCAUCAGUUGUGCCCAGAUGGGAUUAGCCAGUAGGUGGGGUAACGGCUCACCUAGCCGACGAUCCCUAGCUGGUCUGAGAGGAUGACCAGCCACACUGGAGCUGGGACACGGUCCAGCCUCCUACGGGAGACAGGAGUGGGGGAUAUUGCACAAUGGGCGCAAGCCUGAUGCAACCAUGCCACGUGUGUGAUGAAGGCCUUCGGGUUGUAAAGAACAUUCAGCAGGGAGGCGUUGCCCGCAGAAGAAGCACAGGCUAACUCCGUGCCAGCAGCCGCGGUAAUUC